Raphanus sativus (radish) is the source of this 3294-nucleotide long non-coding RNA. RefSeq lists it as uncharacterized. The record is from RefSeq and is a predicted model, not a curated record. The transcript has 5 exons. Lineage: Eukaryota; Viridiplantae; Streptophyta; Magnoliopsida; Brassicales; Brassicaceae.
GUCCAUCCUCUCACAAUCUCCACCUUGGGCUUUAUUCUUCACAUUUGGCCCAGCCUAUCACUUGUCUCUCUCUCCUCAAGCACACGACAGUUUCUUUGUCGAUGUGCACUGCUUUACUGAACAGACCAAACUAUCGGAUCAGCUUUCAGACGUCUCCGGUGACUCACCAUUGCCGUCCCUUUCCUCGAAAUAUUGUGUCAGAACUUGAUCAAGGACUUGAUCAAGGACGUUUCUCUGUGGCAAUUACCACUACGACUUGAUCAAAGAGCUUCUUCCUCGAAAUAUUGUGUCAGAACUUGACUGCAAUUCCGGUGAGCUUCUUGGUGUUUCCCUUAGAGCCUCAUCUCGCCGAUCCUCAACACUUCUCAGAAGCUCGAGACGGCACCUUUGAUUGAGACUCUUUUAUCCCCUUUGAUCUCUCGAUCAAAACCAUCUCCAAAUCGCCAAAUUCUCUGUAAUUUCAGACGAGUUCUUGCGAUCAACCAUGUGACUUGCGUUUCCUUAUUGUACUCAGGAACUUCAAGAGAUUCGCGACUCUCCCCCAAGCUUCCUUUCACGUCAAUGAACCGCGUCGACUGCGAUUUCAACGGAAUCUUUUUUUUUUUUUUUUCCCGAUGAGAUUUCCGUUGUCAAUUCUCUCUGGUGUUCCCUGCUACUCUUACACCACCACGCCAAGCUCACAACCCCUUUGAUAUUUUCCUUUGAUAGUGAAACCCUUUCGGAAGUACCUUUGCUUGCCGACCUUUUCCAGCUUCUCCGGCGAGCCUAUUUGUCUGCCUCAUCCGCUAGUUCAGACAGAGUCGUAUCCCUUCAGCUACUUGAUCAAGGUUCAUCACUUUCUUUAGCUGUUUACUACGCCCUCACAUGUUUGUGUUCUCCGAUGUGAUUCAGUUCACUGGAUCUCACCCACCGGCAGGUUCCGUAGCAAUUAGAAAUCGCCUCCACCUUGGACGUUCCUUCCCUCUAGCAACCACAACUUCGAUCCUAUGACUGCAACCCUUUCAGUUAGCUCUGCUUUAUUUUACCAUUCUCCACAGCUCCACCUGAACCUGAUUCCAUUUAAUGUUUCUUCGGUGAUCAAUCGAAGUACUUCUGCUCCCAUGAUGAUUCCUGUUAAAACCAUAAACUUGAACCAUCCUUCUAGCCUCUGCAAUUUUUCAGACUUAUCCGAGACAGUGAAAUCACAGCUUGGAUUUCAACCUCUUUCUUCACACAGUAGCUCCUUAUGGAAUCUAACCGUUGAUUCCUUGUUUAUUUCCAGCUACUCAUGAUGAAAGACCAACCUUCUCUCUUGCUUCCUGCAACUUCAGCUCCUUUGGUGUACCCUUAUAACUCCUUUGCUGGUCCUCGGCCACUCGUCUUCUUUCAGUUUAUCCGGCAAACUGAUUCACCUCCUCCACUGUUUAAGACGUCCGAUUUCCAUGAUGAACUCCACCUGGAACCAGAAUCAACACUCCAGAAUGUCUGAUGCUUCACGGUUACGUUAAAUCUUCACUGCGAGAGCUCAGCCUCGUCCCUUUUUCCAUCCUUUAGGUAAUUCCCUUUACCUUAAACCAAUCAAUCACACAGCCUCCUCCAUGACCUUCAUGAAUCUGUUGUUGAUCGAACUCAUCCUCCCUUUGCAUCUUGAUUUCCUUUAAUCAAAUGCAAUUACUUUUCUAAAUCAUACAUGUUUCACCCAAUGAAACAAUCUCUGAUUCAAAAAAUUCUUUUUUUUGUUUAAACCCCACAGCUUUGAAUCCCUCUUUAUACCGCCGUUAACGGAACACGCCAUCAAGCUACCACAUUUGCUAGAUAGACUUUCGACAAAAACUUUGAUCCAGCUUUCUUCUUAAACAGAAUCUUAGUAACAACAUUACACCUUGUUGCCAGAUUUCUUCUGUAUAAGAUCUGCCUUGAACUCCUCUGUGUACCGCUGUUAUCACUUAACAGAACCAGCCAUCAAGCCAUCAUCCUUGCUAGAUAGACUUUCGACACACCCCUAGUCCAAGCAUCUCUUCUACAUAACUUAACACACCCUUUGUGUUCUUCUUUACCUCUUGUAACUCUGAUCCUUAUCCCUGACACUUAACCCUCCUUGAAAACUUUAUCAGACCUGAUUUUAUAUGAACUUCUCAGAAGCUCCCUGCCUGCUUUGCCUCAAGCAGACUCCAUAUUUCACCUCCAUACUCUUCUGCUAUAACCUUUCUCUUGAAUCUCAGAUUUUUAACAUACUGUCGAAAAACUUUUCUACACAUCCCUUUCCUAAGGCGUCCCCUAGACAUGGAUCUGUAAGUCCAGUUGCUUUAUCAACCCAUCCUUGAACACCAAAUUGAAUAAACUUUUAACAACUAGAGCAAGCCAAGAUACAACCUGAUUUCACAGCAAAAAAUCUUGACUUCUCUAUUGUUAAAAUCUAUUCUACUUCCAUGUGCUCUCCCAAAAUCUUGAUUCCAUAAAUGUAGCAGCCUUGAGUAUCCAGAAACUUCAAACAUCACAAUAACCAUGUGAUUGCAGCGGAAAUAAGUCUUCAAGUCUUCAGCAUCCCCGUACUUCAUUAAACAUCAUGUUUCCCUUUGAUCUUUCAAUUCCAACCCUUCAAUGUGUCGACUCCAUAAUCUCACUAACCCCGCAAUCAAAACCUGGAUUGCUCUGAUACCACUUGUUAGGAAUUAUCGAUCGUUUGAUUGCUUAACUAAACGACACAAGAUUUUUAACCCAGUUCCCUUGCGGUACCUCUGGGGUGGGAACCGUCUCCCACAACAUCCACUAUCAAUCAAAGGGGUUUACACAAACGCUCUAAGCGCUCUUCUCGUAUAAACAUGACAUUAACAAAGAAUAAGAAGAUCAAAGAAACUCUAUCCUUUAGAGACAUGACUCGAACAAUAUCUCUUAGUUUCUUCUACUCUUGAUCUCUCUCUCUUAACUUCUCUUUGUCCUUGUGUUUAGGUUUUCUCGGAUGAUUCCUUAGGUCACAUCUUCUUCCUCUUAUAUAUACGUCCCAGUAUAUAUGCAUGUUUCCUUUUUACGUAACGAGAACAAAUACGUCACCGACUUGGGUGGAUUUUUCUUUUGACUGAUAUGGAUCAGAGAAUCAGGCUUAAUUCUCAAGCCCAUAUUUAUGUGAAGAUAAGUCCAUCCUCUCACAGAGAAGAUUAAUACUGGAACGAGUAAAAACAGAGGAUGAUUUUCCUAUAGGAUCAAAAUUUCAUAAACCUCUUACUUCAUCAGAGCCUCCAAGGUGUGAAGUAUCUACCAUUUUCAUGUAAGUCUUCACUGCAUCCCUAGAAGUUAUCUAUAUAUAACACACAUAUU